RNAcentral lists this ribosomal RNA (253 nucleotides) under uncultured bacterium. RNAcentral describes it as "partial 16S ribosomal RNA". It matches the Rfam family "Bacterial small subunit ribosomal RNA", at positions 524 to 776 of the family's 1533-position model. The record is from RNAcentral.
UACAGAGGGUGCAAGCGUUAAUCGGAAUUACUGGGCGUAAAGCGUGCGUAGACGGUUAUUUAAGUCAGGUGUGAAAGCCCCGGGCUCAACCUGGGAAUUGCAUUUGAGACUGAAUAGCUAGGGUGCGGAAGAGGGAAGCGGAAUUUCCGGUGUAGCGGUGAAAUGCGUAGAUAUCUGGAGGAACACCGGUGGCGAAGGCGGCAUCCUGGACUACUACUGACGCUGAGGAGCGAAAGCCAGGGGAGCAAACGGG